This 76-nucleotide transfer RNA is filed under the name Alphaproteobacteria bacterium. Its description in RNAcentral is "tRNA-Thr". It matches the Rfam family "tRNA". Rfam says of the family: Transfer RNA (tRNA) molecules are approximately 80 nucleotides in length. Lineage: Bacteria; Pseudomonadati; Pseudomonadota; Alphaproteobacteria. The record is from RNAcentral. RNAcentral also lists the same sequence under 2 other names.
GCUCCUAUAGCUCAGUUGGUAGAGCAGUUGAUUUGUAAUCAUCAGGUCCGCGGUUCGAGUCCGUGUGGGAGCACCA